This 1458-nucleotide ribosomal RNA is filed under the name Burkholderia multivorans. RNAcentral's name for it is "bacterial SSU rRNA". It matches the Rfam family "Bacterial small subunit ribosomal RNA". The record is from RNAcentral. Lineage: Bacteria; Pseudomonadati; Pseudomonadota; Betaproteobacteria; Burkholderiales; Burkholderiaceae.
AAAGCGGUUACCUCUAUAUGUCGUAUCGGUCGGCAGCACGGGUGCUUGCGCCUGGUGGCGAGUGGCGAACGGGUGAGUAAUACAUCGGAACAUGUCCUGUAGUGGGGGAUAGCCCGGCGAAAGCCGGAUUAAUACCGCAUACGAUCCACGGAUGAAAGCGGGGGACCUUCGGGCCUCGCGCUAUAGGGUUGGCCGAUGGCUGAUUAGCUAGUUGGUGGGGUAAAGGCCUACCAAGGCGACGAUCAGUAGCUGGUCUGAGAGGACGACCAGCCACACUGGGACUGAGACACGGCCCAGACUCCUACGGGAGGCAGCAGUGGGGAAUUUUGGACAAUGGGCGAAAGCCUGAUCCAGCAAUGCCGCGUGUGUGAAGAAGGCCUUCGGGUUGUAAAGCACUUUUGUCCGGAAAGAAAUCCUUGGCUCUAAUACAGUCGGGGGAUGACGGUACCGGAAGAAUAAGCACCGGCUAACUACGUGCCAGCAGCCGCGGUAAUACGUAGGGUGCGAGCGUUAAUCGGAAUUACUGGGCGUAAAGCGUGCGCAGGCGGUCUGUUAAGACAGAUGUGAAAUCCCCGGGCUCAACCUGGGAACUGCAUUUGUGACUGGCAGGCUAGAGUAUGGCAGAGGGGGGUAGAAUUCCACGUGUAGCAGUGAAAUGCGUAGAGAUGUGGAGGAAUACCGAUGGCGAAGGCAGCCCCCUGGGCCAAUACUGACGCUCAUGCACGAAAGCGUGGGGAGCAAACAGGAUUAGAUACCCUGGUAGUCCACGCCCUAAACGAUGUCAACUAGUUGUUGGGGAUUCAUUUCCUUAGUAACGUAGCUAACGCGUGAAGUUGACCGCCUGGGGAGUACGGUCGCAAGAUUAAAACUCAAAGGAAUUGACGGGGACCCGCACAAGCGGUGGAUGAUGUGGAUUAAUUCGAUGCAACGCGAAAAACCUUACCUACCCUUGACAUGGUCGGAAUCCUGAAGAGAUUCGGGAGUGCUCGAAAGAGAACCGGCGCACAGGUGCUGCAUGGCUGUCGUCAGCUCGUGUCGUGAGAUGUUGGGUUAAGUCCCGCAACGAGCGCAACCCUUGUCCUUAGUUGCUACGCAAGAGCACUCUAAGGAGACUGCCGGUGACAAACCGGAGGAAAGGUGGGGAUGACGUCAAGUCCUCAUGGCCCUUAUGGGUAGGGCUUCACACGUCAUACAAUGGUCGGAAACAGAGGGUUGCCAACCCGCGAGGGGGAGCUAAUCCCAGAAAACCGAUCGUAUUCCGGAUUGCCUCUCGCACUCCGAGGGGUGAAACUGGGAUCCCUAGUAAUCCCGGAUAACCAUGCGCCGGGGAGAAACUUUCCCGGGGUUUGGACACCCGCCGGUCAACACAUGGGAGAGGUGUUUUCCACAAAUGGUGGUCUACCCCCCAGGGGGAGCGCCCCCCGAAGUUCACGGGGGGGGGGGGGGUCCAAAAGGGGG